CCGAGUUCAUGCCCUUACGGGUAGAUCUCCCACCCUUUGUAUACUAUACCUUUGUUGCUUUGGCGGGCCGCCUAGCUACUGGCUUCGGCUGGUAAGUGCCCGCCAGAGGACCCAAAACCCAAACCAUUUUACAGUGUCGUCUGAAUACAAGUUUAAAUAUUUA
Molecule: unclassified non-coding RNA, 163 nt
Filed under: uncultured Tetracladium
Lineage: Eukaryota; Fungi; Ascomycota
Description: sequence contains ITS1
Source: RNAcentral